This 253-nucleotide ribosomal RNA is filed under the name uncultured bacterium. RNAcentral describes it as "partial 16S ribosomal RNA". It matches the Rfam family "Bacterial small subunit ribosomal RNA", at positions 524 to 776 of the family's 1533-position model. The record is from RNAcentral.
UACAGAGGGUGCGAGCGUUGUCCGGAAUCACUGGGCGUAAAGGGCGCGUAGGCGGCUUGAUAAGGUUGCGGUGAAAGCCCGGGGCUCAACCCCGGGUCGGCCGUGGCAACUGUCGAGCUGGAGCACUGUAGAGGCAGGUGGAAUUCCGGGUGUAGCGGUGGAAUGCGUAGAGAUCCGGAAGAACACCGGUGGCGAAGGCGGCCUGCUGGGCAGUUGCUGACACUGAGGCGCGACAGCGUGGGGAGCAAACAGG